RNAcentral lists this long non-coding RNA (412 nucleotides) under Elaeis guineensis (African oil palm). Its description in RNAcentral is "long non-coding RNA (EGUI_LNC036646)". Lineage: Eukaryota; Viridiplantae; Streptophyta; Magnoliopsida; Arecales; Arecaceae. The record is from RNAcentral.
CAUGCCACACCCUCUCUCCUUCUUCUCAUUUCAUGCCCAAGGGUUGGGUGUCCAUCCUUCUACAUGCCAAGAGUUGAGAAGGCUUUCUUCUACAGUGAGGAAUGAAGAGAAAAAGGUUGCAGUUCAAGAGUUGAGUUCGUAGUAAGAUCAAAGAGUUGAUCAAAGUUCUAAAGGGUUAAGAUUCUACUUGGAGAAGAAGGAUCUACCAUGAGAAGAAGGAUUCAAGGUUGUUCCUGAUGGAUACUUGUAGAGGUCGGACACGUGUGCGGCUUGAGAACCUUCGAAUCUCUGAGAUCAUCGAUUGUGGUGAAUUUCUACCCACGCAAAGGUCUUAAGAUUUGAUCUUAUUUUUAUUUUAUUUUUUAGAUUAUAUGCAUGUCUUUACUUCUGGGCUUGGGUAGGAUUAGAUGAG